UCUUUGCAAAUGAGCAACAGUUGGAAAGACUGGGUGUAUCCCUGCUGCAUCUCCCAGCUGGAGUGAAAGCAAGCAGGGCAUAGGACAAGCUGCUAUGACUGACAGCAAUAAAGAUGGAAAAACUUUGGGGAGGGUUGGCAGUCUUAUUUUCUACGCAGUUUGUUUUUAGUUACGUUUUUAUCCUAGAAAUGGCAGAUCAAUCCAAUCACUAGACCUUGUACCUUUACUGAAACAGGAGCUGGAAGGGACCUUACAGAUCAUCGGGUCCAGCCCCCCCUGCACUUGGCUUCAACUUCCAGCCCAGUGACAUCUAUGUCUGUUUGGUGAAAGAGCCCUCUAGCCUCCGAAGUCGUCCUGUGGUCCUGGCACCCUGCCGUCUAACGGGAAGAUCUUGGGACCGACAUUGAAGCUUUGGAAACAACUUCAGGCCAGACUCUGACCUGAGCUCAGCCAGCUCUUUCUCUCCCUCGAAAUGGUAUCGGUAGCCCUGGAGAACACUAAGGACUCUGUUCAGCACAGACAUGCAGAGGAAAGUCAGCAGAUCACUCACAAACCUUAGGUGAGCACCUGAUUCAAGUGAGCUAUUAGGUCACCAGCGUGGAAUCCCAUCUUGAUGGCACGUGCAUGGGGAAGCAUUCGCUCGGAUGCGCUGUCAGGCUUCAAAGCAAACCAGGAUGCCUAUAAAAGAGACUGGGCAGUGUGCAUAACUAACAAGUCCUUGCAACCCAGGCAGGCUGUUUGCAAGUAAGAAUGGAUCCUUGUAGUGCACGAGUGAGAAAUAUUGAGAGUGUGAUGGGGUUGUGGGCACAGCGGUGGAAAGAUGCAAUCAUGUUAUAGUGACAUUGCUGCAAAGUAAUUACCAUUCGACGUGCUAUUAGCGCUUCAUGCAAUGGUUUAGUAAAGCAUCCAAAUGAGAAUGUACUACUGUAAAGAACUGAUUCAGGACUGCUGAAUACCCGCUCCUCUGCACAGAUGCCCAGAGAGAAAAUGUGAGAAAAUUUUGCUGACAAGGGGGAGGAGGAGUUGCUGGAAGCCUAGAGGCAAAAUGUCUUGGGUAAAGAUGUUUCCAAGCAGGGAGGCACUGGCUAAAGUGGAGGCUUGUGGUUGCGAGACGCAUGGAUUUUAAUAUUACCAGCUCUUUCCUUCACUUGCCUGGGAACAUUGUACGUCGCAUCUAUGGGGCUCACUAUGCCCAUCAGGGUACUGGGGGUACUAAGGCAAGCUCCUGUUGGCCAGGCUUCAAGGGAGUCAGAAGGUUUUGAUUGAUUGAUUUUUUUUAUUUUUUUUUUAACUCUCAGGAAAAUUGAAUUUUUUCCCCUCAAAUCUUUCUCCUUUUCAGCAAUCCAUACCACCCUCCAUUUUCCAACCAGUUCUGCUCCCUGAAGUCCCUCUUUUUAAAAAAAACUUCUAAACAUUUUCAAUUUUCCACAAGGGAAACAUUUGAGGGAGGGAUGGGGGAGCAGGGGGGAGGUUGAAGAGGGGACUUGUUAUUUGCCCCAGCCAACACCACUGGAUCUUACUGCAAUCGUCUGACAAAGAGAAGACCCUAUGUGCUACUUAGUACCAGCACCGUGGAGUCCUGGCCCCCUCCCAGCGGGCUCACAGACUCGACUUGAUCUCCAUGAUGUGCCGGGAAUGCACGCGUGGUGCAAUGCAGAGCUCUGGAGAGGUAGCCAGGCUGGCCGGUGUACCAGAAGCAGCAAAGCUGCAGUAGCUUAGAAUAGCUCAAGGUAUCUGCCUAACGUGGGCACACGUUGCUGUUUUGCUCUGUUCCACUGGCCCAGGAGAUGCUUUGUUGGACACUGGCAUUUGAACCCCUCACCGCUGGAUCUGAGGCAGCAGCUGCUAGCAUAGGGCAGCUUUAAAAAGUGCAUGGAGUGCACUCCGUGAAGCCAGAGUUGGAGAUGCAGGGCACUGGGUAUGACCUGAGUUGGGGAAAUGUGUGAGUUGUCCUAGGCCAGUGCAGCUCCAUGAGUGGUGCCAGUGUCAGGCUAAAGAGGCUGCUGUAACAACGGUCUCUCCUGCAGCUGGAAAUCUAGAAGUGAUUUACGGAGGGGAGCAAAUCUCACUGCCCUCCUUCGACAGAGGACUUGACCAAGAUCGUUAGCAGAGGCAGGAUUAAAACCCAGGCAUUUUGGCAAGUGGCUUAUCCAGCUAGCUGCAUUGUCAUCCUGGGAGCUUGCUGGCUGUACUUGUUGCUGUAGCAGAUCCUGUCUAACUCUUUCAACAGAAGAAGUGCUGACCUUAGAGGUGUAUAUGGAUCUGCAUUUAGCUGGGAAAAGCCUUUUAGUGGAGCCUUCUGCAGCACCACCUCUCCAGGGCUCCUGCCUUCGUGGCUCACUCAUUUAACCGCCAGCAUCUUCCCUGCGACUGCUAAUUGCAGCGGUGCUGUUUGUAGGGGGGCACCAGUGUGUGACACUGUUGUCAAAGCAUCCUACUCCUGUGUUCAUCAGCCAUGCAUCUCAGCAUCUUUCACUGCAGGUGGGUAUGGCAGGGUUGGGCCCAUCAGCCAGAUUGCUUUCUAUGAUUGCUGUCAGAAAUCACAGCCUGACAUGCCAAUGCAGGUUGCUGGGUCUAAAAAUGCAAGAUCAAAAUAGGGGCCAGGUAGGAAAAACAUAGGAUCAUGGGAAAGUCGGGCUGGAAGGGACCUCACAAGGGCAUCUGCUCAAGGCAGGAUCAUCCCUGACUAAACCAUCCCAGCCAAGUAUCUGUCUAACCUGCUCUUGAAAACGUCCAGGGAUGGAGCUGCUGCAACUCCUCUAGGCAGCCUGUUCCAAUGUUUGACCAUGCUCAGAAUCAGAAAGUUUCUAAUCUCCAUGCUAAAUACCGCCGGCUGCCGUUUGAGGCCGUAGCAGAUCUGAAAGACGCUUCAGCACCACCAGCUGCUGUGCUCCCUGUCGGUACAGGCGCUGAGCUCCCUGUCGGUGCAG
Long non-coding RNA from Alligator mississippiensis (American alligator), 2930 nucleotides. RefSeq lists it as uncharacterized. The record is from RefSeq and is a predicted model, not a curated record. Lineage: Eukaryota; Metazoa; Chordata; Crocodylia; Alligatoridae. The transcript has 5 exons.